GGGAAACUUGUCUUUGUUGUUCUCCUUUUUCCACUUCAUCCUCCUGUUCUGGAACCAGAUUUUGACCUGCCUCUCUGUCAAGCCCAGGGCGUGCGAGACCUCGAUCCUCCGCUUGCGGGUCAGAAAGCCCGGCUCGCUCAAGCCCCCCAGAAGAAAAGGUCUCCUUCAGGUGUCUUUUCAUGAUCAUUUGCAUCUAUUACCGAAACCUCAUCCUAUUGGCUUCUCCUUACUCCACACGGACUCCGCGCCGCGCGGUUGUGAAAGGAAGAGUGUGGGAGAAUAAAGAAGGAAAAGCGAGCGAGGGGGAGCGAGCGAGGGAGAGGGAGAGGGAGGGAGAGGGGAAGGGAGAAGGAGGUGGGGUGAAUAUACGGAUUAAAUAUGUUUAACUACCUCCAUUAAUGAGGUAUCGCUCGCCUCGCGACAAAUCACGCGCCCGGACCACCCCAAAAGAUUGAUUUUUGGGGAGUGUUGGAAAAUUAAAGAGGAGCGCUCGCAGUCGUUAAUUUCGAAAUUUUAACGAGGCAGUUUUAGCCUUUUUAAAUGUCAGGGUCGCUUUGGAAAACUGUAAAAGAACACGAUUUAAUUGCUACCGGUUUUAAAAGGUCCUAUAAAUGUAAUUGGUAUUUUAAUACAAGUUAUCAAAUCAUACAGCUUCUUAUCCUAAACAUAUUUUAAAACAAACGAGGUAGUCAUAUUUAACAUUUUAAUGAUCAAUUUCCUUAUUAUUGAUAAAGGCUUAACUAUCGCGCGGAGGGAAUUGCGUUUGUAACAGCCCCAAAAAAAAGAGGCUGUAAAGUGUUUAACAAACUAUAAAGCGCCAUAAAGCCGGGGAUGUUGUUGUUGUUUAUGCCGCUCUCCAUAAAAACCGUUCUGGUUUUUACGAGCGCGCCCCUCCGCCGCUGCAAAGCCCGGCGCUGCGCGGCCGCGGCGAGGCGCGGAGCUGUCAAUGUUGAGUUAAAACCGCCGCACUUUUUCGGCUGGAACGUCGACUUCGCGCCGCUCGCCCUCGCUGCCUCCUCCUCCUCCUCCUCUUCCUCCUCCUCCUCCUCCUCAGCCAGGACUCGCUCGGGGGUGACUCCAAACUCCAAACUCCAAAUUUGAGGCUCUGGCGGCCUCCAGAGCAGAGACCCUCCC
Onychostruthus taczanowskii (white-rumped snowfinch) is the source of this 1134-nucleotide long non-coding RNA. RefSeq lists it as uncharacterized. The record is from RefSeq and is a predicted model, not a curated record. The transcript has 3 exons. Lineage: Eukaryota; Metazoa; Chordata; Aves; Passeriformes; Passeridae.